RNAcentral lists this ribosomal RNA (492 nucleotides) under uncultured bacterium. RNAcentral describes it as "partial 16S ribosomal RNA". It matches the Rfam family "Bacterial small subunit ribosomal RNA", at positions 30 to 507 of the family's 1533-position model. The record is from RNAcentral.
CGAACGCUGGCGGCGUGCUUAACACAUGCAAGUCGAACGGUGAAGCGCCUUCCUUUUUGGUGGGUGUGGAUGAGUGGCGAACGGGUGAGUAACACGUGAGUAACCUGCCCCCUUCUUCUGGAUAACCGCAUGAAAGUGUGGCUAAUACGGGAUAUUCUGGGUCUGUCGCAUGAUGGGUCUGGGAAAGAUAUUGUUUCGGUGGGGGAUGGGCUCGCGGCCUAUCAGCUUGUUGGUGGGGUGAUGGCCUACCAAGGCGGUGACGGGUAGCCGGCCUGGGAGGGUGGACGGUCACACUGGGACUGAGACACGGCCCAGACUGCUACGGGAGGCAGCAGUGGGGAAUAUUGCACAAUGGGCGCAAGCCUGAUGCAGCGACGCCGCGUGAGGGAUGGAGGCCUUCGGGUUGUGAACCUCUUUCGCCAGUGAAGCAGGCCUGCCUCGUUUGUGGGUGGGUUGACGGUAGCUGGAUAAGAAGCGCCGGCUAACUACGUG